This 425-nucleotide ribosomal RNA is filed under the name uncultured bacterium. RNAcentral describes it as "bacterial SSU rRNA". It matches the Rfam family "Bacterial small subunit ribosomal RNA", at positions 356 to 773 of the family's 1533-position model. The record is from RNAcentral.
AGGGAAUAUUGGACAAUGGGCGCAAGCCUGAUCCAGCCAUGCCGCGUGAGUGAAGAAGGCCUUCGGGUUGUAAAGCUCUUUUGUCCGGAAAGAAAAACCUUGGGUUAAUACCCUGAGGUUCUGACGGUACCGGAAGAAUAAGCACCGGCUAACUUCGUGCCAGCAGCCGCGGUAAUACGAAGGGUGCAAGCGUUACUCGGAAUUACUGGGCGUAAAGCGUGCGUAGGUGGUUUGUUAAGUCUGAUGUGAAAGCCCUGGGCUCAACCUGGGAAUUGCAUUGGAUACUGGCAGGCUAGAGUGCGGUAGAGGGUAGUGGAAUUCCCGGUGUAGCAGUGAAAUGCGUAGAGAUCGGGAGGAACAUCUGUGGCGAAGGCGACUACCUGGACCAGCACUGACACUGAGGCACGAAAGCGUGGGGAGCAAAC